Molecule: ribosomal RNA, 253 nt
Filed under: uncultured bacterium
Lineage: Bacteria
Description: partial 16S ribosomal RNA
Rfam family: Bacterial small subunit ribosomal RNA
Source: RNAcentral
GACGUAGGGGGCGAGCGUUGUCCGGAAUUACUGGGCGUAAAGGGCGCGUAGGCGGCCUGUUAAGUCGGAUGUGAAAUCCCUCGGCUCAACCGAGGAACUGCCUCCGAUACUGGCGGGCUGGAAUCCGGGAGAGGGAUGUGGAAUUCCAGGUGUAGCGGUGAAAUGCGUAGAUAUCUGGAGGAACACCGGUGGCGAAGGCGGCUUUCUGGACCGACACUGACGCUGAGGCGCGAAAGCUAGGGGAGCAAACGGG